UUUUUAAAAAUCCGAACCGGUACCCGACUCCAAACCCGAAACCUGAACCCGAACCCGAACCCGACGGAUUUUAAAAAUCCAUAUCCAAACCCGAACCCGACCAAAAAUCCGAAUCCCGAACCCGAACCCGAACCCAAAAAUUUAAACCCGAAACAAUUAUUUCUUUUUUCAAUAUUUCAAAAUAUAUUAUAUUAAAUCUAAAUUUUUAAAAUACAAAUUCAAAUAUAACAUCAAAUUUUUUUAUAUUUAUUAUAUAUAAUACAAGAUAAAUUCGGGUUCGGGUCGGGUUCGGGUCGGGUACAAUCAAAAUCCAUAUCCGAAUCCAUAUCCGUCGGGUUUCUAUUUUUGAUAUCUAUAUCCGAAUCCAUAUCCAUAUUCAUCGGAUAUAUCCGUUUCAU
This 398-nucleotide long non-coding RNA is filed under the name Ananas comosus (pineapple). Its description in RNAcentral is "long non-coding RNA (ACOM_LNC036793)". Lineage: Eukaryota; Viridiplantae; Streptophyta; Magnoliopsida; Poales; Bromeliaceae. The record is from RNAcentral.